GUCUAUGGCCAUACCACCCUGAAUGUACCCAAUCCUGUCUGAAGCUAAGCAGGGUUGGGCCUGCUUAGUACCUAGAUCGGAAACCACCUGGGAAUACUGGGUGCUUUUUAAA
Molecule: ribosomal RNA, 112 nt
Filed under: Microcebus murinus (gray mouse lemur)
Lineage: Eukaryota; Metazoa; Chordata; Mammalia; Primates; Cheirogaleidae
Source: RNAcentral